RNAcentral lists this transfer RNA (76 nucleotides) under Candidatus Saccharimonadota bacterium. RNAcentral describes it as "tRNA-Asn". It matches the Rfam family "tRNA". From Rfam's summary of the family: Transfer RNA (tRNA) molecules are approximately 80 nucleotides in length. Their secondary structure includes four short double-helical elements and three loops (D, anti-codon, and T loops). The record is from RNAcentral. Lineage: Bacteria; Candidatus Saccharimonadota.
GAUCCUUUAGCUCAGCUGGUAGAGCACUUGACUGUUAAUCAAGCUGUCCCAGGUUCAAUCCCUGGAAGGAUCGCCA